CCUACGGGAGGCAGCAGUGGGGGAUAUUGCACAAUGGGGGAAACCCUGAUGCAGCGACGCCGCGUGUGGGAAGACGGUCUUCUGGAUUGUAAACCACUGUCCCCAGGGACGAAAAUGACGGUACCUGGGGAGGAAGCUCCGGCUAACUACGUGCCAGCAGCCGCGGUAAUACGUAGGGAGCAAGCGUGGUCCGGAAUUACUGGGUGUAAAGGGAGCGUAGGCGGGGAGGCAAGUUGGGUGUCAAAACUACCGGCUCAACCGAGAGUCGCACUCCAAACUGCAGCUCUUGAGUGCAGUAGCGGCAGGCGGAAUUCCUAGUGUAGCGGUGAAAUGCGUAGAUAUUAGGAGGAACACCAGUGGCGAAGGCGGCCUGCUGGGCUUUUACUGACGCUGAGGCUCGAAAGUGUGGGGAGCAAACAGGAUUAGAUACCCCAGUAGUC
This 440-nucleotide ribosomal RNA is filed under the name uncultured bacterium. Its description in RNAcentral is "partial 16S ribosomal RNA". It matches the Rfam family "Bacterial small subunit ribosomal RNA", at positions 338 to 795 of the family's 1533-position model. The record is from RNAcentral.